RNAcentral lists this ribosomal RNA (327 nucleotides) under uncultured eukaryote. RNAcentral describes it as "partial 18S ribosomal RNA". It matches the Rfam family "Eukaryotic small subunit ribosomal RNA", at positions 1470 to 1796 of the family's 1831-position model. The record is from RNAcentral.
CCCUUAGAUGUUCUGGGCCGCACGCGCGCUACACUGACGAAUGCAACGAGCUUAUAACCUUGGCCGAAAGGUCUGGGUAAUCUCCAAAUUUCGUCGUGAUGGGGAUAGAUUAUUGCAAUUAUUAAUCUUCAACGAGGAAUGCCUAGUAAGCGCAAGUCAUCAGCUUGCGUUGAUUAUGUCCCUGCCCUUUGUACACACCGCCCGUCGCUCCUACCGAUUGAAUGGUCCGGUGAAGCGUUCGGACCGUGGCCUUUGGACGGUUCGCCGUCUGUUGGCUGCGGGAAGUUCGUUAAACCUUAUCAUUUAGAGGAAGGAGAAGUCGUAACA